Molecule: ribosomal RNA, 492 nt
Filed under: uncultured bacterium
Lineage: Bacteria
Description: partial 16S ribosomal RNA
Rfam family: Bacterial small subunit ribosomal RNA
Source: RNAcentral
AGUGAACGCUGGCGGUAGGCCUAACACAUGCAAGUCGAACGGCAGCACAGUAAGAGCUUGCUCUUACGGGUGGCGAGUGGCGGACGGGUGAGGAAUACAUCGGAAUCUACUUUUUCGUGGGGGAUAACGUAGGGAAACUUACGCUAAUACCGCAUACGACCUACGGGUGAAAGCAGUGGAUCUUCGGACCUUGCGCGAUUGAAUUAGCCGAUGUCGGAUUAGCUAGUUGGCGGGGUAAAGGCCCACCAAGGCGACGAUCCGUAGCUGGUCUGAGAGGAUGAUCAGCGACACUGGAAGUGAGACACGGUCCAGACUCCUACGGGAGGAAGCAGUGGGGAAUAUUGGACAAUGGGCGCAAGCCUGAUCCAGCAAUACCGCGUGGGUGAAGAAGGCCUUCGGGUUGUAAAGCCCUUUUGUUGAGAAAGAAAAGAAGCAGGUUAAUACCCCGCUGUAAUGACGGUACCAAAAGAAUAAGCACCGGCUAACUUCGUG